GGGGGUUUUUAUGGGAUGGUACAAACAUCCCACAAACUUGAGCAAAGCACCUUAUGGAUUGAAAAAUGAGGUAAUUUUUUAAUUAAAAUUUUACAAGUUGUGCAAGAAAACAUUCUUUUAAAACUUUGUUUUCUAUUCCAAAAGCUAUGCACAGCACAUUUCAUAUUUCUCCAUUUCCAGGAGAAACUGUAGAUUACUGGUUUAAGAAAUGCAAAAGAUGCCUUUAUGUGACUACAGUUCCAAAUUCUAAAACCCUAAUCAGUCUUCACUCCUUUGGCCACAUUAAGAAUAAUACAGGCCAUCUAGCUGUAUGGUAAAAAGACCGUAUUUUUUAGUAAUUUUAAGUACCCUAAAUACGAGGAGAGGCAGAAAUUCACUGCUUUCAUUCACAUUUUCUCUUACCUAAUAUCCUUUUGAAGGUUUUUCGACCUCAUGGUAUUGUCUUUACUUUCAAGUGCUUUGAAUUUGUUUUUCAGUAUGCUUCUAAACCUCCAAAUUAAUAUUUCCCAAAUGUUUCACCGAACUGUAUACAUUUAAAGCUGCCUUUAGGUCUGAGGGGCAUAAUUUUUUUUCUGCUUUAAAUUUAAAAUUUAAAUUUAAAUUUAAAAAAUAAUUGAACAUUUUUUUUUAUAUUGGUCUUCCUCUAUUUAUUCUGGUCCCCUAAAAUUUUUAAAAAAUACUUUUUUGGGGAACUUGGCUUUUGGAUUUCAGUCUUCACAGUAAAAGUGAAUGAAUAAGGAGGAGAUGCUACUGAAAAACUAACCUUGAAUAUAAACCACUUUCAGAUUUAUGUAGACAUUUAUGUAGACAUUUGUAAAAGACUGACAACCUGGCUACUGACUCUACUCUUUCAAUAUGGAAAGUCACACAGGACUAUAGUUUGGGGUGGCAUCAAAAGGCAAUAAACUCUGAACAAAUUAACCACUUCCAUUCAAUUAGUACAAGCCAAGAAAAUAAGGUGAAUUAUCUAAAAGAGAAUUAUUUCCAACACAGGCUGGUUCUUUCUAAGCAGCUUACUACCCUUUUCUUAGCAAUAUGGCUUGUUUUCUCUUUUGCAUUGUCAUUAGCUAUUCGCUGAAUUUAAGUUGAAUAGCAGUUACUGAUACUUUUUUCCCUACUUGGUUGUAUUCGUAUUCUAAAUAAAAUAAUAGGUGGGAAUCAAAUAAUGGACAAAAAUACAUUUAAUUUCAUAUUACUUAUAUUUCCCUACUAUUUGGGGGAUUUCUAAUUUUUAAUAGUAGUAUAUAAGCAUUCAGAAUUUUAAAACCAAAAGACAUUUUAGAGCUGUAGUUUAAGUUCCUCAGUAUGGGAAAAACAAAAGGAAAGCCAUGGACACUAAUUGUCUAAGGUCAACUAGACAAUUGAGAAACGGCCAAAUUAAGGCUCAAAUCCACUUUUUUAGAUGGCUAGCACAAUAUUCUACUAGAUACAAGACACCAUGCUGUAUCUUGAAGUCACUUUACCCCGGCAAAAUGUAAAAUAACCUUUAGAACUGAAUUAGAGUGAAGUUUUUUUGGUUCCAAAGCCAUAGACAAAAAGUCUGCCUCAUAAAGUUGGUCUCCAAAGAUAAAUU
This is a long non-coding RNA of Pongo abelii (Sumatran orangutan), 1573 nucleotides long. The record is from Ensembl. Lineage: Eukaryota; Metazoa; Chordata; Mammalia; Primates; Hominidae.